This 524-nucleotide ribosomal RNA is filed under the name Fusarium tricinctum. RNAcentral's name for it is "eukaryotic LSU rRNA". The stretch from base 142 to 295 matches the Rfam family "5.8S ribosomal RNA". Lineage: Eukaryota; Fungi; Ascomycota; Sordariomycetes; Hypocreales; Nectriaceae. The record is from RNAcentral.
UUCACUCCCAACCCCUGUGACAUACCUUAAUGUUGCCUCGGCGGAUCAGCCCGCGCCCCGUAAAACGGGACGGCCCGCCAGAGGACCCAAACUCUAAUGUUUCUUAUUGUAACUUCUGAGUAAAACAAACAAAUAAAUCAAAACUUUCAACAACGGAUCUCUUGGUUCUGGCAUCGAUGAAGAACGCAGCAAAAUGCGAUAAGUAAUGUGAAUUGCAGAAUUCAGUGAAUCAUCGAAUCUUUGAACGCACAUUGCGCCCGCUGGUAUUCCGGCGGGCAUGCCUGUUCGAGCGUCAUUUCAACCCUCAAGCCCCCGGGUUUGGUGUUGGGGAUCGGCUCUGCCCUUCUGGGCGGUGCCGCCCCCGAAAUACAUUGGCGGUCUCGCUGCAGCCUCCAUUGCGUAGUAGCUAACACCUCGCAACUGGAACGCGGCGCGGCCAUGCCGUAAAACCCCAACUUCUGAAUGUUGACCUCGGAUCAGGUAGGAAUACCCGCUGAACUUAAGCAUAUCAAUAAGCGGAGGAA